CUGGGGUCAGGGGUGAAAGAAGGAGACAGGUUCUGUUCUUGCGACUCUUGACCCACAGCCUUAUCUCCUUAACCAGAUUCUUCUGUUUGGUGUGUGUUCCUUCUCAAGCAAACAGAAUCCUGAUAAAGUGAUGGACUCCACAACCUUAAAAACUUGAAAAAAGAAAAGUUUGGAAAGAAGACUCUACCAUACUGUUCUGAAGGAUUCACAUGGGUGCUCAAUUCUCUACCAAGUUGUUGUGGCUGGACUUCAAAGUGACCCCUCAGCCUUCACCUGCCCGUUGACCUAUGGCUCGGAGUCAUUGUUCCUACUCACUGCCCUGAGGUUUUAAAAAGACUGUGCAGACAAAGCUCUGGACACAUGAUGGGCUGUUUAAGAGGACACGCUCCCUCUAAGUUGGAGGUGUGCAUUUGACCCUUUUUAAAGGGUCCAGAGUCACUAGGAUGCUUCCAUGCUCUGGGUUGAAUUCUGCUUCACCUACGAAUCCUGCUUUUCUUUUGAGAAAAAAAAAAUGGCACGAAGUGGAAAAGGGGUUCUAUUGGUUAACCUGACAUGGGAUGACUUCAGGCACUGGGGUCCCCCAGGACUGCUUUGGUGCCAAGUCUGUGUAGCCUGCAGCAGGUGGAAGAAGGCCUCCCUGGUCUGGGAUUUAUGGUGUAUCAAGGGUCUUAGAACAGCUGCGCUUGGCUCCCAUUAUGAACUUGUCCAACAGGUAUGCUUUUAUUCUUGAGAAACACAAGCGUUGAAAGAUACAGAAGCAAAAAGAGAAUAAUUUAACAACCAUCUGCAUACUUGCCAUGUAUAAUGAACAGGUAUUAAUGUUUAUUGAUAUUUGCUUCAUACAUUGCUGUUAAUACAAUAAUAUCACUGUCAAGUUGGAGCUGCCUCUUAGUCCUAUUCCAGAUCACCCCCUCCUGCCCAAGAGACAACUCUUUGGAUGAAUUUCAUGUAUAACAUACUGGUCAAAUGUGUGUACUUUGAAUUGAAUCCAUAAACCAUAUGCUGAAGUUUUGAAGAUUUUAUACAAAUAUUAUCAUACACUAUUCAUCUUUCUGUAAUUAGCUUCAAUUUCAUUCAACACGAAGUUUCGUUUUAAAGGUCUGUGUUGAUGCCUUUAAAUCUAGUGCAUUUGUUUAAAUUGCUGAAUUGUAGUCCACUGAUGGAUGCUUAAGUUGGGUUUUUAGAUUUUAUCUACAACAUCUGUUUUGCAAGGAUCCAGGCAUCACAUCCUUUACAGAAGGCUGUGCAGAUUCAGAUUUAGGGAUAGAUAAACCAACAGGUGUUUCUGAGACAUCCAUGAGUCUCUCUGGAUGAAGGCUAUUUAUUUAUGUAUUUAUCCUUUCUAAGUUCAAUUUACCAUUCCAGACACUUUUUAUCCCCCUAGGAUGAAUCCUUAUUUUACUCAUAGUGUUGUAUUUUGACUUUGAUAAGACCUUGGAACACUCCCUUAAUAUUUUCAUAUAUGUCUGAACCCCAGGGAAUAAUAUAGAUGCAGAUUUCCAUGGUCUGUCCCUUCAAUUAACAAAACAUGUUCGCAAAUGCCAAAAAUGAGCAGCAGAGUUGAGCAGAAUAUCCAAGUUCACUAAUAAACCUUCAGAACUGCUACUCUUCUUCA
Molecule: long non-coding RNA, 1615 nt
Filed under: Sus scrofa (pig)
Lineage: Eukaryota; Metazoa; Chordata; Mammalia; Artiodactyla; Suidae
Description: lncRNA (ENSSSCG00035002721.1)
Source: RNAcentral